Molecule: ribosomal RNA, 388 nt
Filed under: uncultured bacterium
Lineage: Bacteria
Description: bacterial SSU rRNA
Rfam family: Bacterial small subunit ribosomal RNA
Source: RNAcentral
GGAUUAGAAACCCUGGUAGUCCUUACUGUAAACUAUGUAUACUUGAUGUAACUGGACUCAACCCCAGUUGUGUCGGAGCUAACGCGUUAAGUAUACCGCCUGAGGAGUACAGUCGCAAGGCUGAAACUCAAAAGAAUUGACGGGGACCCGCACAAGCAGUGGAGCAUGUGGUUUAAUUCGAUGCAACGCGAAGAACCUUACCCAGGCUUGACAUGCAGUAGACCGAUCCAGAAAUGGAUCUUUCCUUAGGGACUGCUGCACAGGUGCUGCAUGGCUGUCGUCAGCUCGUGCCGUGAGGUGUUGGGUUAAGUCCCGCAACGAGCGCAACCCUUAUCAUUAGUUGCCAACAUUUAAGGUGGGAACUCUAAUGAGACUGCCUGGGUUAACC